Molecule: ribosomal RNA, 381 nt
Filed under: uncultured bacterium
Lineage: Bacteria
Description: bacterial SSU rRNA
Rfam family: Bacterial small subunit ribosomal RNA
Source: RNAcentral
AACGAACGCUGGCGGCGCGCUUAACACAUGCAAGUCGAGCGCCUUGGGCCUUCGGGCCCGAGGAGCGGCGCACGGGUGCGUAACGCGUGGGAACCUACCUUGGGGUUCGGGACAACGGCGGGAAACCGCCGCUAACACCGGCUACGGCCGUGGCGACACGGCGAAAGGCGCUUUGGCGCCGCCCCGGGACGGGCCCGCGUCCGAUUAGGUAGACGGUGGGGUAACGGCCCACCGUGCCGUUGAUCGGUAGCCGGUCUGAGAGGANGAUCGGCCACACUGGGACUGAGACACGGCCCAGACUCCUACGGGAGGCAGCAGUGGGGAAUCUUGGACAAUGGGGGCAACCCUGAUCCAGCGACGCCGCGUGGGUGAUGAAGGCCU